RNAcentral lists this non-coding RNA (219 nucleotides) under Polynucleobacter sp. RNAcentral describes it as "6S RNA". It matches the Rfam family "6S / SsrS RNA". From Rfam's summary of the family: E. coli 6S RNA was the first non coding RNA to be sequenced, but its function was unknown until recently. Lineage: Bacteria; Pseudomonadati; Pseudomonadota; Betaproteobacteria; Burkholderiales; Burkholderiaceae. The record is from RNAcentral.
CUAUCCCUGCCUAGUUCGCCAAGGUCAAUAGUUCCUUGAACCGAUGCUAACGCAUAAGGUGCUAAGAAGUGCAGUGGGCGAGCGCGCCUUGUUUUUAUAGGGUAUCACUUUAGGUGCUAUUCUCCCUGGAAAUACUGAUGCGCCCAAAACUAUACUAGAGGCACCGCCUUGAACUCUCUGGGUUCAGGAUGACGACCUAGCGGCUAUGGCGGGGACCCU